UUGAACGCUGGCGGCAGGCCUAACACAUGCAAGUCGAGCGCGAAAGGUUUUCGGACUGAGUAAAGCGGCGGACGGGUGAGUAACGCGUGGGAAUCUGCCCAGUAGUGGGGGACAACAGCCGGAAACGGCUGCUAAUACCGCAUACGCCCUACGGGGGAAAGGGGGGGAUCUUCGGACCUCUCGCUAUUGGAUGAGCCCGCGUCGGAUUAGCUAGUUGGUAGGGUAAAGGCCUACCAAGGCUACGAUCCGUAACUGGUCUGAGAGGAUGAUCAGUCACACUGGAACUAGGACACGGUCCAGACUCCUACGGGAGGCAGCAGUGGGGAAUAUUGGACAAUGGGGGCAACCCUGAUCCAGCCAUGCCGCGUGUGUGAAGAAGGCCUUAGGGUUGUAAAGCACUUUCAGUGGGGAGAAAGGUUUGUCACCUAAUACGUGAUGAAAUUGAUGUUACCCACAGAAGAAGCACCGGCUAACUCCGUGCCAGCCGCCGCAGUAC
RNAcentral lists this ribosomal RNA (496 nucleotides) under uncultured bacterium. RNAcentral's name for it is "partial 16S ribosomal RNA". It matches the Rfam family "Bacterial small subunit ribosomal RNA", at positions 30 to 523 of the family's 1533-position model. The record is from RNAcentral.